GAACUGUGAGACAGGUGCUGCAUGGCUGUCGUCAGCUCGUGUUGUGAAAUGUUGGGUUAAGUCCCGCAACGAGCGCAACCCUUAUCCUUUGUUGCCAGCACGUAAUGGUGGGAACUCAAAGGAGACUGCCGGUGAUAAACCGGAGGAAGGUGGGGAUGACGUCAAGUCAUCAUGGCCCUUACGAGUAGGGCUACACACGUGCUACAAUGGCGUAUACAAAGAGAAGCGAACUCGCGAGAGCCAGCGGACCUCAUAAAGUACGUCGUAGUCCGGAUCGGAGUCUGCAACUCGACUCCGUGAAGUCGGAAUCGCUAGUAAUCGUAGAUCAGAAUGCUACGGUGAAUACGUUCCC
This 352-nucleotide ribosomal RNA is filed under the name Serratia sp. EJP 91. RNAcentral describes it as "bacterial SSU rRNA". It matches the Rfam family "Bacterial small subunit ribosomal RNA", at positions 1024 to 1375 of the family's 1533-position model. Lineage: Bacteria; Pseudomonadati; Pseudomonadota; Gammaproteobacteria; Enterobacterales; Yersiniaceae. The record is from RNAcentral.